RNAcentral lists this unclassified non-coding RNA (67 nucleotides) under soil metagenome. RNAcentral describes it as "partial internal transcribed spacer 1". The record is from RNAcentral.
UGAAUUAUAAAUAUUUGUGAAUUUACCACAGCAAACAAAAAUCAUACAAUCAAAACAAAAAUAAUUA